RNAcentral lists this transfer RNA (61 nucleotides) under Ornithodoros kalahariensis. RNAcentral describes it as "Ornithodoros sp. 1 BJM-2014 tRNA-Cys". The record is from RNAcentral. Lineage: Eukaryota; Metazoa; Arthropoda; Arachnida; Ixodida; Argasidae.
GAUCUUAUAGUUUAGAGAAUGUUAAAUUGCAAGUUUAAAGGGGAUAAAUUGUCUAAGAUUU